This 253-nucleotide ribosomal RNA is filed under the name uncultured bacterium. RNAcentral's name for it is "partial 16S ribosomal RNA". It matches the Rfam family "Bacterial small subunit ribosomal RNA", at positions 524 to 776 of the family's 1533-position model. The record is from RNAcentral.
UACGUAGGGUGCAAGCGUUGUCCGGAAUUAUUGGGCGUAAAGAGCUCGUAGGCGGUUUGUCGCGUCUGCUGUGAAAACUCGGGGCUUAACUCCGGGCCUGCAGUGGGUACGGGCAGACUAGAGUGCGGUAGGGGAGACUGGAAUUCCUGGUGUAGCGGUGAAAUGCGCAGAUAUCAGGAGGAACACCGGUGGCGAAGGCGGCCUGCUGGGCAGUAGCUGACGCUGAUGCGCGACAGCGUGGGGAGCAAACAGG